GCCUACGGGAGGCUGCAGUGGGGAAUCUUAGACAAUGGGGGAAACCCUGAUCUAGCCAUGCCGCGUGAUCGAUGAAGGCCUUAGGGUUGUAAAGAUCUUUCAGUGGGGAAGAUAAUGACUGUACCCACAGAAGAAGCCCCGGCUAACUCCGUGCCAGCAGCCGCGGUAAUACGGAGGGGGCUAGCGUUGUUCGGAAUUACUGGGCGUAAAGCGCACGUAGGCGGGACAGAAAGUCAGAGGUGAAAUCCCAGGGCUCAACCUUGGAACUGCCUUUGAAACUCCUGUUCUUGAGGUCGAGAGAGGUGAGUGGAAUUCCGAGUGUAGAGGUGAAAUUCGUAGAUAUUCGGAGGAACACCAGUGGCGAAGGCGGCUCACUGGCUCGAUACUGACGCUGAGGUGCGAAAGCGUGGGGAGCAAACAGGAUUAGAUACCCCAGUAGUCA
This 442-nucleotide ribosomal RNA is filed under the name uncultured Rhodobacter sp. RNAcentral's name for it is "bacterial SSU rRNA". It matches the Rfam family "Bacterial small subunit ribosomal RNA", at positions 337 to 796 of the family's 1533-position model. The record is from RNAcentral. Lineage: Bacteria; Pseudomonadati; Pseudomonadota; Alphaproteobacteria; Rhodobacterales.